CAGUUGUAUAGUGAGCUUUAUGUUUUGUAUACAGAAUAGAAAACUUGUCCAAGGAAUACCCAGGUUGAUGAGAUGUGACAAGACAGUUGUAUACAGAGCUAUAUGUUUUGUAUACAGAAUAGAAAAACUUGUCCAAGGAAUACCCAGGUUGAUGAGAUGUGACAAGACAGUUGUAUAGUGAGCUUUAUGUUUUGUAUACAGAAUAGAAAACUUGUCCAAGGAAUACCCAGGUUGAUGAGAUGUGACAAGACAGUUGUAGCAGCUGUUUAACUCAUUAGAAUGAUGGAUACUGCUUGAUGUUAAGGAGAGGGGUUGCUGUCUGUGAUACUGGAACAGAACACAAUUAUAUUAUCACUUGUUGAUUAAUAAACAACCAACUUUGGA
This is a long non-coding RNA of Haliotis rubra (blacklip abalone), 384 nucleotides long. RefSeq lists it as uncharacterized. Lineage: Eukaryota; Metazoa; Mollusca; Gastropoda; Lepetellida; Haliotidae. The record is from RefSeq and is a predicted model, not a curated record. The transcript has 2 exons.